AUACGGGAGGCAGCAGUAAGGGAUAUUGCGCAAUGGGCGAAAGCCUGACGCAGCAACGCCGCGUGCCCGAGGAAGGCCUUCGGGUCGUAAAGGGCUUUUAGGGCUGAAGAGCAAGGACGGUAAGCCCGGAAGAAGUGUCGGCUAACUACGUGCCAGCAGCCGCGGUAAAACGUAGGACGCAAGCGUUAUCCGGAGUUACUGGGCGUAAAGGGCAGGCAGGCGGGCUGGUAAGUUGGAUGUGAAAUCUCCUGGCUUAACCGGGAGGGUGCAUCUGAGACUGUCAGCCUGGAGGGCAGCAGAGGAGCGUGGAAUUCCGGGUGGAGUGGUGAAAUGCGUAGAGAUCCGGAGGAACACCAGAGGCGAAAGCGGGGCUCUGGGCUGCACCUGACGCUGAACUGCGAAAGCCAGGGGAGCGAACGGGAUUAGAUACCCCGGUAGU
RNAcentral lists this ribosomal RNA (439 nucleotides) under uncultured bacterium. RNAcentral describes it as "bacterial SSU rRNA". It matches the Rfam family "Bacterial small subunit ribosomal RNA", at positions 339 to 794 of the family's 1533-position model. The record is from RNAcentral.